RNAcentral lists this ribosomal RNA (462 nucleotides) under uncultured Pelotomaculum sp. RNAcentral's name for it is "bacterial SSU rRNA". It matches the Rfam family "Bacterial small subunit ribosomal RNA", at positions 929 to 1382 of the family's 1533-position model. Lineage: Bacteria; Bacillati; Bacillota; Clostridia; Eubacteriales; Desulfotomaculaceae. The record is from RNAcentral.
GCGGUGGAGCUAUGUGGUUUAAUUCGACGACAACGCGAAAGAACCCUUUAACCAGGGUCUUGACACUCCCCUGACCGCGUAUGAAAGUACGUUUUCACCCUCGGGUGACAGGGAGACAGGUGGUGCAUGGUUGUCGUCAGCUCGUGUCGUGAGAUGUUGGGUUAAGUCCCGCAACGAGCGCAACCCCUACGUUUAGUUGCUAACGCGUGAAGGCGAGCACUCUAGACGAACUGCCGUUGACAAACGGAGGAAGUGGGGAUGACGUCAAAUCAUCAUGCCCCUUAUGUUCUGGGCUACACACGUGCUACAAUGGCCGGUACAGGCGGACGCAAAGCCGCGAGGUGGAGCAAAUCCUAAAAAGCCGGUCUCAGUUCGGAUUGCAGGCUGCAAUUCGCCUGCAUGAAGUCGGAAUCGCUAGUAAUCGCAGGUCAGCAUACUGCGGUGAAUACGUUCCCGGGCCUU